Molecule: ribosomal RNA, 156 nt
Filed under: Perenniporia ochroleuca
Lineage: Eukaryota; Fungi; Basidiomycota; Agaricomycetes; Polyporales; Polyporaceae
Description: 5.8S ribosomal RNA
Rfam family: 5.8S ribosomal RNA
About the family: 5.8S ribosomal RNA (5.8S rRNA) is a component of the large subunit of the eukaryotic ribosome. It is transcribed by RNA polymerase I as part of the 45S precursor that also contains 18S and 28S rRNA.
Source: RNAcentral
CAGCAACGGAUCUCUUGGCUCUCGCAUCGAUGAAGAACGCAGCGAAAUGCGAUAAGUAAUGUGAAUUGCAGAAUUCAGUGAAUCAUCGAAUCUUUGAACGCACCUUGCGCUCCUUGGUAUUCCGAGGAGCAUGCCUGUUUGAGUGUCAUGAAAUCU